Molecule: regulatory RNA element, 60 nt
Organism: Bifidobacterium stellenboschense
Lineage: Bacteria; Bacillati; Actinomycetota; Actinomycetes; Bifidobacteriales; Bifidobacteriaceae
Rfam family: msiK RNA
Source: Rfam
CCGAAUAAUCCCUUUACAACGGAUCGUGAGGCACGUACCUGCCUCUGAAAGGAUUGAACA